GGGAAGGUGGCUCAGUGGUAGAGUGCUUGCCUGGCAUGCAUGAGGCCCUGGGUUUGCUUCCCCA
Molecule: transfer RNA, 64 nt
Filed under: Dipodomys ordii (Ord's kangaroo rat)
Lineage: Eukaryota; Metazoa; Chordata; Mammalia; Rodentia; Heteromyidae
Rfam family: tRNA
About the family: Transfer RNA (tRNA) molecules are approximately 80 nucleotides in length. Their secondary structure includes four short double-helical elements and three loops (D, anti-codon, and T loops).
Source: Rfam by way of RNAcentral